CCUACGGGUGGCAGCAGUGGGGGAUAUUGGACAAUGGGGGAAACCCUGAUCCAGCGACGCCGCGUGAGUGAAGAAGUAUUUCGGUAUGUAAAGCUCUGUCAGCAGGGAAGAAAGAAAUGACGGUACCUGACCAAGAAGCCCCGGCAAACUACGUGCCCUCCGCCGCGGUAAUACGUAGGGGGCAAGCGGUAUCCGGAAUUACUGGGUGUAAAGGGAGCGUAGACGGUGGUGCAAGUCUGGAGUGAAAGGCGGGGGCCCAACCCCCGGACUGCUCUGGAAACUGUGGAACUUGAGUGCAGGAGGGGUAAGCGGAAGUCCUGGUGUAGCGGUGAAAUGCGUAGAUAUUAGGAGGAACACCAGUGGCGAAGGCGGCUUACUGGACUGUAACUGACGUUGAGGCUCGAAAGCGUGGGGAGCAAACAGGAUUAGAUACCCGAGUAGUC
RNAcentral lists this ribosomal RNA (443 nucleotides) under uncultured bacterium. Its description in RNAcentral is "partial 16S ribosomal RNA". It matches the Rfam family "Bacterial small subunit ribosomal RNA", at positions 338 to 795 of the family's 1533-position model. The record is from RNAcentral.